GACGAACGCUGGCGGCGCGCCUAACACAUGCAAGUCGAACGAGCGAGAGAGAGCUUGCUUUCUUGAGCGAGUGGCGAACGGGUGAGUAACGCGUGAGGAACCUGCCUCAAAGAGGGGGGACAACAGUUGGAAACGACUGCUAAUACCGCAUAUGCCUUAAUUAUCACAUGAUAAUAGAGGGAAAGGAGCAAUCCGCUGAUAGAUGGGCUUGCGUCUGAUUAGAUAGUUGGUAAGGUAACGGCUUACCAAGUCGACGAUCAGUAGCCGGACUGAGAGGUUGAACGGCCACAUUGGGACUGAGAUACGGCCCAG
This 312-nucleotide ribosomal RNA is filed under the name uncultured bacterium. Its description in RNAcentral is "bacterial SSU rRNA". It matches the Rfam family "Bacterial small subunit ribosomal RNA", at positions 28 to 334 of the family's 1533-position model. The record is from RNAcentral.